GCGCCCAGCCAAGAAAUAAACUUCUAUCUUGCUUAAGCCACUAAAAUUUUGAGUUUUCUCUCGCACACAGUCUGUCUUGAUUUUCUUUGCCACAGCGAGAGUGGCUGGGGUUUUUGUCCAAUUGGGUGAUGAAAGAAGGCCUUAGAAGGCCUUUUGCAGGGGUAAUAUUUGACCUGAGACUUGCCUGGUGAGAAGGAGCCAGCCAUGGGGAGAUCAGGGAGGAGCAUCCCGACAGGAUGGCACUCGUGCUUUCGAGGAACAGAGGAGGUCACUCUGACUGCUGUGUGGCAACCGCAUUGUAGGGGGCCUAAGUGAAGCCAGGAGGCCAGAGCCCUGGUCAGGUUUAAGGACCUGAGUGAGGGUCCUUGUCCUUGGGAACAUGAUCUGUGGAGGAGACACACAGGACCAUGGACCAUCUCAGUAGGGAGCAGAGAGGCAAUGACACAGGUCAAAGCUUUGGUCCAGCAAGUUUGGAAAGGAAAGGCAUCUCAGGACAAGGGAACAGUGCAUGGAAAGAUCCAGAAGCCAAGAGAACAGA
This 538-nucleotide long non-coding RNA is filed under the name Homo sapiens (human). Its description in RNAcentral is "HSALNT0390025". Lineage: Eukaryota; Metazoa; Chordata; Mammalia; Primates; Hominidae. The record is from RNAcentral.